GGGCCAGUGGUCUAGUGGUUAUGACGUCGCGCUUACACCGCGAAGGUCGGGAGUUCGAUCCUCUCCUGGCCCACCA
This 76-nucleotide transfer RNA is filed under the name Promethearchaeota archaeon. RNAcentral describes it as "Candidatus Lokiarchaeota archaeon tRNA-Val". It matches the Rfam family "tRNA". Rfam says of the family: Transfer RNA (tRNA) molecules are approximately 80 nucleotides in length. The record is from RNAcentral. Lineage: Archaea; Promethearchaeati; Promethearchaeota.